UUGACCAGGCCAAAAUCCCCA
RNAcentral lists this non-coding RNA (21 nucleotides) under Arabidopsis thaliana (thale cress). Lineage: Eukaryota; Viridiplantae; Streptophyta; Magnoliopsida; Brassicales; Brassicaceae. The record is from RNAcentral.